UUUUCCUACGGGACGCAGCAGUUAGGAAUAUUCGUCAAUGGGGGAAACCCUGAACGAGCAAUGCCGCGUGAACGAUGACGGUCCUCUGGAUUGUAAAGUUCUGUUGUUUGGGAAGAACGGCUCUAAUAGGAAAUGAUUAGAGAUUGACUGUACCAUUCAAGAAAGCCACGGCUAACUACGUGCCAGCAGCCGCGGUAAUACGUAGGUGGCAAGCGUUAUCCGGAUUCACUGGGUGUAAAGGGAGCGUAGACGGCCAUGCAAGCCUGGAGUGAAAGCCCGGGGCCCAACCCCGGGACUGCUCUGGG
This 305-nucleotide ribosomal RNA is filed under the name uncultured bacterium. RNAcentral describes it as "bacterial SSU rRNA". It matches the Rfam family "Bacterial small subunit ribosomal RNA", at positions 334 to 630 of the family's 1533-position model. The record is from RNAcentral.